Small nuclear RNA from Argiope bruennichi, 107 nucleotides. The record is from RefSeq and is a predicted model, not a curated record. Lineage: Eukaryota; Metazoa; Arthropoda; Arachnida; Araneae; Araneidae.
GUACUCGCAUAAGCGAUACAUAUACUAAAAUUGGAACGGUACAGAGAUGUUUAGCAUAGCCUCUGCGCCAGGUUAACACACAAAAUCGUAAAACGUUCCACAUUUUU